RNAcentral lists this ribosomal RNA (404 nucleotides) under Fusobacteriota bacterium. Its description in RNAcentral is "Fusobacteria bacterium partial 16S ribosomal RNA". It matches the Rfam family "Bacterial small subunit ribosomal RNA", at positions 355 to 776 of the family's 1533-position model. Lineage: Bacteria; Fusobacteriati; Fusobacteriota. The record is from RNAcentral.
UGGGGAAUAUUGCACAAUGGAGGGAACUCUGAUGCAGCGACGCCGCGUGAGUGAUGAAGGAUUUCGUUUCGUAAAACUCUGUUCUAUGGGAAGAAAAGGACUGUACCAUAGGAGAAAGCUUCGGCUAAAUACGUGCCAGCAGCCGCGGUAAUACGUAUGGAGCGAGCGUUGUCCGGAAUUAUUGGGCGUAAAGGGUGCGCAGGCGGCUUUACAAGUUGGAUGUGAAAUAUUGUGGCUCAACCACAGACGUGCAUCCAAAACUGCAAAGCUUGAGAUGAGGAGAGGUGAGUGGAAUUCCUGGUGUAGCGGUGGAAUGCGUAGAUAUAAGGAGGAAUACCAGUGGCGAAGGCGACGUACUGGACUUAAACUGACGCUCAGACACGAAAGCGUGGGGAGCAAACAGG